Molecule: non-coding RNA, 845 nt
Filed under: Hymenopenaeus neptunus
Lineage: Eukaryota; Metazoa; Arthropoda; Malacostraca; Decapoda; Solenoceridae
Description: 12S ribosomal RNA
Rfam family: Microsporidia small subunit ribosomal RNA (bases 430-839)
Source: RNAcentral
AUAAAAGUUUUAUCCUGGCUCAUAAUUCUUAUUUUUAGGUUGAUGAUACAUGUUAGUUUUGUCGCGACAAAAAGUUUAUUUAAUUUGAUAUUAUAUAAAUUACAAGUGUAGAGAUGUCAAUAAAAAAUUAAUUCUCAGUAUCUAGUGCUAAUAUUAUAAAUGCAAGUUGGAAUUGGUAAUCUUAAUUUUAUUUACCUGGCUAAAAUUUGUGCCAGCAGCCGCGGUUAUACUGAGAGGUAAAUUAAGAAAUGUUUGGUUAAAAAUAAUUAAGUGUUUGGCUUUAUUUUUAUGGUUUCGUACUGAUAAAGGGUGAAAUCAAUUUUUUGGUGUGAGAACAGUUAAAAAAGUAGCUUAAACUGAGGUUAUUAAGAUAAAGGUAUGAACCAGGAUUAGAUACCCUGUUACACUUUAUUUAAAUUUUGUUUACCCGGGUAAUAAGCAGUUAUUGUCUUGAAACUCAAAGGAUUUGGCGGUAAUUUAGUCUAUUUAGAGGAACCUGUUCUGUAAUCGAUAAACCACGAAGUAUCUUACCUUAUUUAGUAGAUAAUCAGUUUGUAUACCGUCAUUAUUAGAUAACUUUAAUAAAAAUCAGUUGUUGAAAUAAUUGUUUUAAUAUAUUAGAUCAAGGUGCAGCUAAUAGUAAGGAAGAAAUGGGUUACAAUAUUAUAUAUUAAAACGGAUUAAAAGAUGAAACAUUUUAUGAAGGUGGAUUUAAUAGUAAGAGGGGUUUAAUAAGCCCUUUUGAUUUUAGCUCUAGAUUAUGUACACAUCGCCCGUCGCUCUCGUUAGUUAAAGCGAGAUAAGUCGUAACAUAGUAGGUGUACUGGAAAGUGUACCUAGAAAUU